UACGUAGGGUGCAAGCGUUAUCCGGAAUUAUUGGGCGUAAAGCGAUCACAGGUGGACAAGUAGGUCCGGUGUUAAAUACCCACGGCUUAACCGGGGUGCUGCAUUGGAAACCCCUUGACUAGAGGAAGGCAAAGGCAGGUGGAAUUUCCAUUGUAGGGGUUAAAUCCGUAGAUAAUGGAAGGAACACCAAAAGCGAAGGCAGCCUGCUGGGCCUUUCCUGACACUGCUUGAUCGAAAGCGUGGGGAGCAAAAGGG
This 255-nucleotide ribosomal RNA is filed under the name uncultured bacterium. Its description in RNAcentral is "partial 16S ribosomal RNA". It matches the Rfam family "Bacterial small subunit ribosomal RNA", at positions 524 to 776 of the family's 1533-position model. The record is from RNAcentral.